This 253-nucleotide ribosomal RNA is filed under the name uncultured bacterium. RNAcentral describes it as "partial 16S ribosomal RNA". It matches the Rfam family "Bacterial small subunit ribosomal RNA", at positions 524 to 776 of the family's 1533-position model. The record is from RNAcentral.
UACGAAGGGGGCUAGCGUUGCUCGGAAUUACUGGGCGUAAAGGGCGCGUAGGCGGCGCUGCAAGUCAGGCGUGAAAUUCCUGGGCUUAACCUGGGGGCUGCGCUUGAGACUGUGGGGCUAGAGGAUGGAAGAGGCUCGUGGAAUUCCCAGUGUAGAGGUGAAAUUCGUAGAUAUUGGGAAGAACACCGGUGGCGAAGGCGGCGAGCUGGUCCAUUACUGACGCUGAGGCGCGACAGCGUGGGGAGCAAACAGG